Molecule: ribosomal RNA, 1065 nt
Filed under: uncultured bacterium
Lineage: Bacteria
Description: bacterial SSU rRNA
Rfam family: Bacterial small subunit ribosomal RNA
Source: RNAcentral
GGGAGGCAGCAGUAGGGAAUUUUCCGCAAUGGACGCAAGUCUGACGGAGCAACGCCGCGUGAGUGAAGAAGGUUUUCGGAUCGUAAAACUCUGUUGUUAGAGAAGAACAAGUGCUAGAGUAACUGUUAGCGCCUUGACGGUAUCUAACCAGGAAGCCACGGCUAACUACGUGCCAGCAGCCGCGGUAAUACGUAGGUGGCAAGCGUUGUCCGGAUUUAUUGGGCGUAAAGCGAGCGCAGGCGGUUCCUUAAGUCUGAUGUGAAAGCCCCCGGCUCAACCGGGGAGGGUCAUUGGAAACUGGGGAACUUGAGUGCAGAAGAGGAGAGUGGAAUUCCAUGUGUAGCGGUGAAAUGCGUAGAUAUAUGGAGGAACACCAGUGGCGAAGGCGACUCUCUGGUCUGUAACUGACGCUGAGGCUCGAAAGCGUGGGUAGCAAACAGGAUUAGAUACCCUGGUAGUCCACGCCGUAAACGAUCCCUGAAAGGUGUUGGAGGGUUUCCGCCCUUUCAGGAUGCAGUUAAUGCAUUAAGCACUUCCGCCUGGGGAGUGCGACCGCAAGGUUGAAACUCAAAGGAAAUUGACGGGGACCCGCACAAGCGGUGGAGCAUGUGGUUUAAUUUGAAGCAACGCGAAGAACCUUACCAAGUCUUGACAUCCUUUGACCACUCUAGAGAUAGAGCUUUCCCUUCGGGGACAAAGUGACAGGUGGUGCAUGGUUGUCGUCAGCUCGUGUCGUGAGAUGUUGGGUUAAGUCCCGCAACGAGCGCAACCCUUAUUACUAGUUGCCAGCAUUCGGUUGGGCACUCUAGUGAGACUGCCGGUGACAAACCGGAGGAAGGUGGGGAUGACGUCAAAUCAUCAUGCCCCUUAUGACUUGGGCUACACACGUGCUACAAUGGAUGGUACAACGAGCAGCGAACUCGCGAGGGUAAGCGAAUCUCUUAAAGCCAUUCUCAGUUCGGAUUGUAGGCUGCAACUCGCCUACAUGAAGCCGGAAUCGCUAGUAAUCGCGGAUCAGCACGCCGCGGUGAAUACGUUCCCGGGUCUUGUACACACCGCCCGUCA